Long non-coding RNA from Triticum aestivum (bread wheat), 886 nucleotides. RefSeq lists it as uncharacterized. The transcript has 4 exons. NCBI's taxonomy places the organism in Eukaryota, Viridiplantae, Streptophyta, Magnoliopsida, Poales, Poaceae. The record is from RefSeq and is a predicted model, not a curated record.
CAAAAAGUGUUCAUCGCCUAAAUUGAGGGAGAGACCCAAACUUGUUUUCUAGGUUGUACUCCGCCCUCCUCGCGAUGGCCAGCGACGGAUCCUCUUGGAGUGAAACUGGGACUCGGAAGCAUAAACUUGGAAGAUUGUAUCCACUCGAUUUUCAAGGUAGUAUAGAAUUUGCAAGAAAACAAGAUCAAGAACGAGCUCAACUAUUCCAAGCAUGAGGAUAUUGGCCACUUGACUAUCAAGCUAAUACACGAUAUGCAGAUAAACAAGCUGAAAAACAAACACAAACAGUUGAAGCGCGAGGGCAACAUACUUAUGCUUCUAAAAAGGAAGAAGCUGCUGCAAAUGCGAAACGAUGGCUGAGCGAGGAGGCGAUGGUGGCUUUCAGAAGAUACAUUGAGAGCAAAGGGACUUGAUUAUGAAUUUGACGAGCUUGUCCAUCAAUGUUUCCAUGUGGAGCAUUAUUUGAAGACGUUUUAUCACUUCAACUUUACUGUCAAGACAAAGAAGCCUGGCUCAGCUGAUUGGACAUCGGCUAUGUACUUCGCUCAGGUCAAAUCGAUAUGCAUGAUAAAACGCUAUGUCUGUUAUCCUUUGGAGCAAGAUCAAUAUGGUGAAUGUUAUGCAUGUGAGAACCAAGGAAUGGGUGAAUUGAGGCACCCAUUAGAAGGGAUAUACGAUAUGGGCAGGGAAGAUAUACAAUUUCCCUUCUAUUAUCAGGACAGUGACUCUGAUGAAUUCGAUGCAACAACGGGAGGGAGUGAAUCCUCUGAUGAGGAUAUGAGCUGAUGGCCUUGUCCUUUAUUCUACAGUAUAAGUUAAAUUUGGCUCUUGUAUGCUCUUGAUCCACUGAAUCAAGUCAAAUUGCUAGUUGAUAUGAGAAUGCCAA